Molecule: long non-coding RNA, 643 nt
Organism: Stomoxys calcitrans (stable fly)
Lineage: Eukaryota; Metazoa; Arthropoda; Insecta; Diptera; Muscidae
Exons: 4
Source: RefSeq, a predicted model, not a curated record
UUCGCCUGCACAUACGUAAGUCAAUGUUUUCAUUUACACAUGCUUACGAUUUGGUAUUACCAUAGGGCAGGAUAUAUUCAUUUACAGGUAGCGGCAGUUGCCCAAGAACAAAAUAAUGAGUGCACUAUCUGUCAAAGUCAUCGAUUACCGCAACUCUGAGUUUGAGUAUGUUACUAGUUUGCGUCAUUUUUCAUUGUUUGUGUGUUAUGUGUUAUAAUACAUACACACAACCAAAAUUCGUUGACAUAAAUGAAAUUGUACUCAGCUGUUUACGGUAUACUACCUGGUGCCGGUAUCUGUUAGACGCGAAAGCCGGGCAAUGACAAAGGAAAUGCUCCAACGUCUCAUCAUCUUCCCCGCUUGCCCUACACAUGCAAUCACUUGCCGCACCGAUUUUACAUAAUAAUUGCCUCGUCUUCUCACGAUCUGGAUCCCCCUAUAGAAUUUUCCCCGUCCUACCGACCGACGGAGGGAGUGGGCGACGAAUGCGCAUGCAACAUUGUGGAACAGAGAAACGGUUACCAGACGGGUUCAAAUCCCUCCUCAGUCAUCAUCCUUAAUAGGCGGAAUGCUGUCACACUCCAUAAAAAAAACGUCGACGAAACGCUGGAGGAAAAUAGGUGUUUAUAGUGUGGAAAAUGGC